UGAUAAACCCUACUCCUAGAAGGC
This 24-nucleotide non-coding RNA is filed under the name Mus musculus (house mouse). The record is from RNAcentral. Lineage: Eukaryota; Metazoa; Chordata; Mammalia; Rodentia; Muridae.